ACAUGCCCCAGAGAUGAACAGGGGAAACUCACAGGUGUCUUGCUGCCCUGUACUGCAGGUACACAGCCCCUUUCUGUCAUUUGCUAUCUUUCAGAAGGCUUACCUGCUCUUGUUUCUUAGCCACACCAGCAGAUAUUUUAUGAUAAAAGAACUCAUUUGAGCUUUCUGGAGAAAGACAAACUUCUAUGCACCAGGAACCCUCAAGUAAAGGAUGCAGAAUAGAGAUAAUCCAUUUCCAGUGAUUUUAUGAGAAACAUCCCUGUUCUCACAUCCCCCUCUGCCUUUACCCUUGGAUUUUCAUUUGUAAUUGUGCAAACCGGAGGUGAAAAGCUCUCACACACUGCAGGAGAGAUUUCUAUUCCUUCCCAGCAGAAGUGGCAGCAGGGGUGCUGAGCAAAGGAACUGGCAGCUCAGGUGGCCAUGAACAGGUCGGCUGAGCCCUGACAUCCAGGACCUCGGCCAAGGAAAGUCAUCUGAAUUCAGCAGUAACAAGGGCAAACCUUGUCUGCUUUUGCUGACACAGAGUGUGACCAAGACCAGCAGUGAGCUUAAGAAAAAUCCCCAUGAAAGCUGCAUAGAUUCAAGCAGAAAAUGAAGAGCAUUUUUCAUCUAGCAUGCAUUCAGCUCCUUCAGGAGCAUAACACCACACUGAUGUGUUGUCAAGAGCGUGGCAGCUUCUCUGCAGAGAUACUUGAGUAAGCUGAAUCAGUAAAUUUUUUUUAAGUUACAGCACUGUAUCAAAGUCAAGAAACAAGGCUUCAUCCUCAUCUGACUCUCCACAAGUAAUGGCUGCUGGGAUACUUUGGGAAGGCAGAACCUGAGCCAGGGUUUGGAAGAGCACAAACAAAAUCAGUAGCACAUCAAUGAUGUCUAAUUUUCAGAAAGAGCUGAGAACACCCUAAGAAAGUAAAGCCCCUCCAUGGAGCUGGCAAGAACAAUUGAUGGCAGUAACUUCUGGAGUUUUUCAGUCUGGAAGUUUGCAUACUGACAAGUGUAUUCUCAGUAUUUGAGUUUAAUCUUUGAGACCUGUGAGAUUUUCAUAUAUUAUAUGAACUCACUUCAGUUUACUCAGUCUACAUUUGCUUUCUGAUCAACUCAUUGAGACUCUCUGCUUCAAAACAAAAUACAGGACAGUGACAGUCCUCCAUAUCCUCAGCAGGUUAUCCUGCUGAGAGGUAGAAAAUCAGACUGCACAGUUGCACCAGCACUUGUAUCUAUUUCUGGUGAUUUAUUUAUAGCCAAAAAGGCAGGAAAACUGUACUCUUAGCUCCAUUCAAAAAUACCAAUUGGCUAUAAAUGUUCCCAGCUUUCUAUCAAGGGAUUUUCUUUUCCCCUCUCCUCCCAACUGCUUGCAGUUAGUGCUAUCUUGUACUGUCUCUCUCUAGAUGUACCCAUUGGAAGUGUAUGUUGUCAACAAAGAAGAAAGCAAACACUCUGAUGAGCUGUUCUCCACCCCUUUCAUCUAUUAGGAGAGAAAUGUUGUUUAUAGUCAGGUAAAUUAUUACAUUCAGUGUUAUUAUUACAUUCAGUGCUUUGGGCUAGCAAUGAUAAGUUACUACCAAAAUUGUUGUUGCAGAUAAACCUUUAGGGCUCUUCCACUUACCCUACAGACAGAAAUCCUAGAGCAGCUCCCUACUGAGCAGGCUUUCCAAAGAGUUCUUCAAAUGUAAAUGCCUUCAUUUUGGUGAAAUCCUUUUCUUGCUGGACAGCAAAGUUUUGAAUUUGCCUCAGUUUGUUUUCUGGGUUUAGUUGUUUUAUGCCUCUGAACUGACGCCUUGCAACACCCAGUGCCAUUUUUGACAUUAGACUCGCCUGACACCUUGCAAAACACAAACUCUUUUCUUCUGAAAAUUGUUCAUGUUAUUCCUCUUCAGCCAAAAAAUAAAGUAAUUAAUCCCACAAAUCUGUAUUUUUUUUAUCUGCAUGAGACACAGAGUUAAUCUUGUCAUGUUUCAGCAUCUGGAUAUGAAUAACUUGCCUGCCUCAGAGGUUUCUUGAGGUAGAGCAAAUCAUACAUAUUACCAACAUUAAAAUCCAUAUAAAUUAUAUUGUCUCCAGCCCAUUCAGGAAGCUUGUUAUCAUAACUAAACCAUUCAGACACAGUCAUUUCUUGCCUUCUGCUCCAUCUUUGUAAGUGAUCUCUGGUUUUGGAGAAGAAGAAAAGCUAAGAAUUUAAAUCAAUUUUAAGUGUCUAUACAUUGAUUUGGCACAGGUUCAGUAGCAUUUUCCUUAAGACUGACCCAGAAAUAUGUGAUUAUAUAGAGAAUAAUUUAUUGCUAAUAAUCAAAUGUUUUUAUUACACUCACCUCAAGCAGGUAUUGGGCAUAUGUGUAGUGGCUCCUGGCACCCUUCACUGUGCCAGGGUGCCACACCAUUCUGUGGCCAGGUCCAGACUCAGCAAUCUUAUUUUAGCUAGACCAGAAAAUGCUUUUUCUCCUUCCUCCAUUUGCUGUUUCAGCCCAGGCAGUAGCUCAGCUCACAGGGCAGACAGCCCCUCCAGACAGACUCCACAGCCAUGGCUACUGACCUCCCACUCCAGCCUCCCUUGUCUUAACUCCCCUGUCAUCUUUUUUCAUCUCCUUUUUUUUUUAAAUCUUUUUUUUCAUGUAUCAGCUAAAUAUCAGCUUUUUAACACCUACCUGUGUUUUCUGAAAGAACUAUCAUGCCUUUUGGCUAUGUGUUGUCUAUGGAAACUGAGUUUUACAGAUCCCUGUUUGGUUACAAAAGAUAUCCACAAAAUGCACCAUCUCAAUACAUUUUAAUUAAAAAUCAGUUUUCUGAGUUUCCUUGCACAAACAGCUCCUGCAUGGUCCUGGCUUUCUGCCAUAGGUAACCAUUAAUUUGAGUUUUUCUCUCUACAGUGGACACACUUGCUCACAGAAAUCAAAUACUCAGUCAUGUUUUCUCCUUAGCCACUGCUUUGGGCAAUUGCUGCAAUUGCUUAAAUCAUUUUGCUCAAGAAGGGGGCUUUGAUGACAAACAUUGGGCAAGAACACAGAGGAUGAGAUUAUAUAAAACCUUGGGUUCUUGUGGAUAUGCAACAGCAUCAAGCAGAAUUUCAAAUAGAAAAUGGUUAGAUGGGAACCUUGUUCCUCCAUGUAGAAAGCUCAAGCACUUUGGUGGGACACAGAGGUCCAGUGGAAGGUCCUUCUAUCCUGCUAGGCUCGACAAAAUUAUUAAAGAAAGGUUUCUGAUGUGAUUUUGACAGUUGUGAAUAGGAAAUUAACUUCUGUGAAUAUGCUGCAUCACUUAA
This is a long non-coding RNA of Haemorhous mexicanus (house finch), 3253 nucleotides long. RefSeq lists it as uncharacterized. Lineage: Eukaryota; Metazoa; Chordata; Aves; Passeriformes; Fringillidae. The record is from RefSeq and is a predicted model, not a curated record. The transcript has 3 exons.